GACGAACCGGUCGAACGUUAUUCGGAAUCAUUGGGCUUAAAGGGUGCGUAGGCGGUGCGGAAAGUUGGGUGUGAAAGCCCUCGGCUCAACCGAGGAAUUGCGCCCAAUACUGCCGUGCUAGAGGGAGACAGAGGUGAGCGGAACUGAUGGUGGAGCGGUGAAAUGCGUUGAUAUUAUCAGGAACACCAGUAGCGAAAGCGGCUCACUGGGUCUCUUCUGACGCUGAGGCACGAAAGCUAGGGUAGCGAACAGGAUUAGAUACCCUUGUA
RNAcentral lists this ribosomal RNA (269 nucleotides) under uncultured prokaryote. RNAcentral's name for it is "partial 16S ribosomal RNA". It matches the Rfam family "Bacterial small subunit ribosomal RNA", at positions 524 to 792 of the family's 1533-position model. The record is from RNAcentral.